CAGUCCUGAGUGUACUGAUAUUCUGGGAUGUGGCUUAUACUUGGAACAUGACUAUACCCUUUUUCUUUCUCCGUUCUCCUGAUUGCCUCAGUUUGAUAAACAAUUCUACAUCUUCCUCUUUACUAAAAUGAGAAACAUAAUGCUCAUUUCAUGUUUUGUCCAGGGCUCUAGUCCCCCUCCCAGUCCAUUCUGACCUCGCCUCCUUUAUUUUUCUUCCUUUUAAUAUCUAGAGACCUUUCAUUUCCUCUUAUUUCUUUUGACAGAAAUAACUCUGUUUAACUCCUGGCAUUUCUCAUCCUGUUGACAGCAUUACUGGAUUGAAUCUUCUGAUAAUGUUUCUGAGAGAAUGGUCCAAUUUGCCUUUGUUAUUCAGGUUGGAUUACAGCAGUCAUUUGCUGAAGUUUAAUAAACAAGAAGCCUUUUCUUGUAAGCAGAACUUAAUUUGAAAUGGAAUGAUUUAGAGAGAACAUCACUGUGUCCUUCCGACAUAAGAUGAACCAUCACUUUCGUGCCUAUUGAUCCAGUUUAAUUUCUAUGGCAAGCUCUCAUCAGACCAUUGGAGCAUGGCAUGGAAAGGUGCUGGAGCAUCGUCUGGAAGAACGUGCAGCUCUGAGCUCAUGUUCAACCUGAUGGAAAUGAAUCAGCUUCUCUCGAGCCUUUGCAAAUGUUCCUCAGACUUCGCCCAAGGAAAUCAAGCUUUGGCAAGUGCUUAGAAUCAUAGAAUCAGCAAGGUUGGGAAAUACUUUCAAGAUCAUUAACUACAACCAUUAACCUGGCCUACUGAGCCCCUUCACUAAGCCAUGUCCCCUAGUGCUAUGUGGUAUCACUGACACAGCAUUGUGGUAUCAGAGACAUUCGCAGAUCACUCUUUGAUGGUUUGACUGAAAUACACCAAAUGUUCAACCAUUUCACAGAACAGCUUUUGGUGGAAGAUGUAGUGUAUCAUCUUAGGGAUAUACUACCGGACUAGAAAUGCGUUCCUGCUCUAGACUUCAGCAGGAAGGUUUUGUUAUGUAGAAAAAAAAUCCUAGGUUUUAAGUGACUUACAUUCACUUUUAAGUGAGAGAUAUCUCAUUGCAGUAUGUUACAAAGACUGUCUCUUUCCAACAAAGUGUUGUCAUAUCACGAUGCAUCCAAAGCUCCUUAAAUGCUCACAGUGGUACCACCUCAUGCCCAUUUGUGCAGCCUUUGCUUGGGCUAGUUUCACUCCACAAUAAACUCUUCCGAUGUUUGAAUUUGGCUGAAGCU
Molecule: long non-coding RNA, 1248 nt
Filed under: Numida meleagris (helmeted guineafowl)
Lineage: Eukaryota; Metazoa; Chordata; Aves; Galliformes; Numididae
Description: lncRNA (ENSNMEG00000007256.1)
Source: RNAcentral